AUAGUGAAUUAUCGAAAAAAAAGUCAAAUUUCACGCCUUUCAAAGUGCGUGCUCUUGUUUCGUGUGGCCAUGGCUGCAUAUACGUCAUAUCUGUUGUACCUGCGGUGUGUGUUGUGUGGUAUUGUGUGUCGGUGUGAAUUUUGUGCUGCGUGUGGAAGUUACUGGUGGAAAGUGGGUGGAAGGGACAGUGUGUAAACUUUUAUUGUGUUGAAUUUAACCGCGGUGUGGCUGGUGUCGAUCCAUGUGCUGGUGUUCAUCAUCCCGGGUGUGCUGUACAUAGGCUGUUCCUCGCGCGCUAGGACGAUGCAGUUACAAAGCAGCAAAAUGCGGCGCUCAAUGAACGACGGUAGUGCGGUAAAAUCAUGCAUAGCCUGUUACGCGGUAAGGUGCUUUUUGAAGCGUUUGUUUUAGAUUUCUGCUCUGAUUUUAUAGUUAGUAACAAAGAUCAACCUAAAUCUGGAUUAUAUUAAUGGUGGUAAAUUUUGGAUCGUCAAAUACGGUUAGUGUGGAGUAGGACAUGUCCGUCGCGGAGUCGUAGGUUGGUCGUAGGUUCAAGUAUAGAGUGGAUCGAGCCCCGUCCGGCUGCAAUGACUGAUUUAUCCAGCUGCGUCGUAUUGAAUUAGUCUCAAACGUUGUAAUAGGCUGGCAUGAUGGAGCAGGUCAUUACACCAAAUCGAUAUAGUUUUAAAAAUAAAAUGCGAUAAAAACUAAUAUGGUUGAGAUAAAUUUGAAAAGAAACCCUGAUUUGUGGGGAUGAUUUGCUUUAUUUAAGUUGUAUUAUAGAGCGCAAUAUAUGUAUACGUUGAACUUAAGUUUAGUAAAGAAAAUAUAACUAUUAGUCAAAUAUAUUGGAAAUACGCUUAAUCUGUGUUCUUUGCGUGUAUAAUACUAACCGUAAAAUUAUAUUUUGUUAAA
Anopheles merus is the source of this 915-nucleotide long non-coding RNA. RefSeq lists it as uncharacterized. The record is from RefSeq and is a predicted model, not a curated record. The transcript is spliced from 3 exons. NCBI's taxonomy places the organism in Eukaryota, Metazoa, Arthropoda, Insecta, Diptera, Culicidae.